GUGAGUUGAUGAUUGUUUGAAAUUGGACAAACAGCCAUUUUGUGGAUCCUAAGGAAUGGUACAUAUGAUGAGGUUGGUCAAUUAUUACUUAGAAUGAUGGAGCUUUUCUCAAGUUUGAUGAUCUAUUCACAUCUAUCUUCGGUUGGGUUGGUGUAUGGGCAGUGUCCUUGAUCAUCUUGAGGACCGGUGAAAAAUUGCGGAGUGCGUGCUUUGUUUGAAAUUGGAUAAGCUUCCACAUCUUGGAUUUUGG
RNAcentral lists this long non-coding RNA (250 nucleotides) under Eucalyptus grandis. Its description in RNAcentral is "long non-coding RNA (EGRA_LNC001497)". Lineage: Eukaryota; Viridiplantae; Streptophyta; Magnoliopsida; Myrtales; Myrtaceae. The record is from RNAcentral.